RNAcentral lists this ribosomal RNA (493 nucleotides) under uncultured bacterium. RNAcentral's name for it is "partial 16S ribosomal RNA". It matches the Rfam family "Bacterial small subunit ribosomal RNA", at positions 29 to 507 of the family's 1533-position model. The record is from RNAcentral.
AACGAACGCUGGCGGCGCGUCUUAAACAUGCAAGUCGAACGGCAGGAAGGGGCUUGCCCCUUCUGAGAGUGGCGGACUGGUGAGUAACACGUGGGUGACAUACCUUUUAGUUGGGGAUAGCUAUUAGAAAUAGUAGGUAAUACCGAAUGUGACCGUACCUGUUAGAGGGGUACGAGGAAAGGAGCUAAGGCUUCGCUAAAAGAAUGGCUCGCGGCCCAUUAUGCUCGUUGGUGAGGUAACGGCCCACCAAGGCGAUGAUGGGUAUCCGGCCUGAGAGGGUGAACGGACACAUUGGGACUGAGAUACGGCCCAGACUUCUACGGGAGGCAGCAGUUAAGAAUAUUCCGCAAUGGACGAAAGUCUGACGGAGCGACGCCGCGUGGAUGAACAAUGCCGAAAGGUUGUAAAAUCCUUUUAAGCCUGAUGAAUAAGCACAGUAGGGAAUGAUUGUGCGGUGACCGUAGGGCUUGAAUAAGCACCGGCUAAUUACGUG